UGCUCCUAGUACGAGAGGACCGGAGUGGACGCAUCACUGGUGUUCGGGUUGUCAUGCCAAUGGCACUGCCCGGUAGCUAAAUGCGGAAGAGAUAAGUGCUGAAAGCAUCUAAGCACGAAACUUGCCCCGAGAUGAGUUCUCCCUGACCCUUUAAGGGUCCUGAAGGAACGUUGAAGACGACGACGUUGAUAGGCCGGGUGUGUAAGCGCAGCGAUGCGUUGAGCUAACCGGUACUAAUGAACCGUGAGGCUUAACCUU
This 258-nucleotide ribosomal RNA is filed under the name Escherichia coli. RNAcentral describes it as "partial 23S ribosomal RNA". It matches the Rfam family "Bacterial large subunit ribosomal RNA", at positions 2673 to 2925 of the family's 2925-position model. The record is from RNAcentral. Lineage: Bacteria; Pseudomonadati; Pseudomonadota; Gammaproteobacteria; Enterobacterales; Enterobacteriaceae. RNAcentral also lists the same sequence under 1 other name.